This 434-nucleotide ribosomal RNA is filed under the name uncultured Lachnospiraceae bacterium. RNAcentral's name for it is "partial 16S ribosomal RNA". It matches the Rfam family "Bacterial small subunit ribosomal RNA", at positions 341 to 792 of the family's 1533-position model. Lineage: Bacteria; Bacillati; Bacillota; Clostridia; Lachnospirales; Lachnospiraceae. The record is from RNAcentral.
ACGGGAGGCAGCAGUGGGGGAUAUUGCACAAUGGGCGAAAGCCUGAUGCAGCGACGCCGCGUGAGGGAAGAAGUUAUUCGUAAUGUAAAGCUCUAUCAGCAGGGAAGAAAAUGACGGUACCUGACUAAGAAGCCCCGGCUAACUACGUGCCAGCAGCCGCGGUAAUACGUAGGGGGCAAGCGUUAUCCGGAUUUACUGGGUGUAAAGGGAGCGUAGACGGUCUUGCAAGUCUGAUGUGAAAGGCAGGGGCUCAGCUCCUGGACUGCAUUGGAAACUGUAAGUCUUGAGUGCCGGAGAGGUAAGCGGAAUUCCUAGUGUAGCGGUGAAAUGCGUAGAUAUUAGGAGGAACACCAGUGGCGAAGGCGGCUUACUGGACGGUAACUGACGUUGAGGCUCGAAAGCGUGGGGAGCAAACAGGAUUAGAUACCCUGGUA